CCUACGGGAGGCAGCAGUAAGGAAUAUUGGUCAAUGGACGCAAGUCUGAACCAGCCAUGCCGCGUGAAGGAUUAAGGUCCUCUGGAUUGUAAACUUCUUUUAUCUGGGACGAAAAAAGGCGAUUCUUCGUCACUUGACGGUACCAGAUGAAUAAGCACCGGCUAACUCCGUGCCAGCAGCCGCGGUAAUACGGAGGGUGCAAGCGUUAUCCGGAUUCACUGGGUUUAAAGGGUGCGUAGGCGGGCAGGUAAGUCAGUGGUGAAAUCCUAGAGCUUAACUCUAGAACUGCCAUUGAUACUAUCUGUCUUGAAUAUUGUGGAGGUAAGCGGAAUAUGUCAUGUAGCGGUGAAAUGCUUAGAUAUGACAUAGAACACCUAUUGCGAAGGCAGCUUACUACGCAUAUAUUGACGCUGAGGCACGAAAGCGUGGGGAUCAAACAGGAUUAGAUACCCUGGUAGUCCACGCCCUAAACGAUGAUUACUCGACAUUUGUGAUACACUAUAAGUGUUNUGAGNGAAGANAUAAGUAAUACCACCGUGGAGUACGACCGCGAGUUAGUAACGUUAAAGUAGUAGUAGAGGCGUUAGAGAGNGCGACGGACGACGACGAGGGAGGAGG
Molecule: ribosomal RNA, 618 nt
Filed under: uncultured bacterium
Lineage: Bacteria
Description: bacterial SSU rRNA
Rfam family: Bacterial small subunit ribosomal RNA
Source: RNAcentral